GGAAGGUUGUCCGGGUGUUGGAAGUCCCGGUCGCUGCAUUGGAGAAGGCGCUUAGGCAAAUCCGGGCGCAGGAUUCAAGGGUGUGGCGCGAGCUCCUUCGGGAGCGAAGCAAUUGGAAGUGGUUCCAAGAAAAGCCUCUAAGCUUCAGUCUAACGAUGACCGUACCGCAAACCGACACAGGUGGGCGAGAUGAGUAUUCUAAGGCGCUUGAGAGAACUCGGGAGAAGGAACUCGGCAAAUUGGUACCGUAACUUCGGGAUAAGGUACGCCCUGGUAGCUUGACUGGCCUGCGCCAGAAGGGUGAAGGGGUUGCAAUAAACUGGUGGCUGCGACUGUUUAAUAAAAACACAGCACUCUGCAAACACGAAAGUGGACGUAUAGGGUGUGACGCCUGCCCGGUGCCGGAAGAUUAAAUGAUGGGGUGCAAGCUCUUGAUUGAAGUCCCGGUAAACGGCGGCCGUAACUAUAACGGUCCUAAGGUAGCGAAAUUCCUUGUCGGGUAAGUUCCGACCUGCACGAAUGGCGUAACGAUGGCCACACUGUCUCCUCCCGAGACUCAGCGAAGUUGAAGUGUUUGUGAUGAUGCAAUCUACCCGCGGCUAGACGGAAAGACCCCAUGAACCUUUACUGUAGCUUUGCAUUGGACUUUGAACCGAUCUGUGUAGGAUAGGUGGGAGGCUAUGAAACCGGAAUGCUAGUUUCGGUGGAGCCGUCCUUGAAAUACCACCCUGGUUUGUUUGAGGUUCUAACCUUGGCCCGUGAUCCGGGUCGGGGACAGUGCAUGGUAGGCAGUUUGACUGGGGCGGUCUCCUCCCAAAGCGUAACGGAGGAGUACGAAGGUACGCUAGGUACGGUCGGAAAUCGUGCUGAUAGUGCAAUGGCAUAAGCGUGCUUAACUGCGAGACCGACAAGUCGAGCAGGUGCGAAAGCAGGUCAUAGUGAUCCGGUGGUUCUGUAUGGAAGGGCCAUCGCUCAACGGAUAAAAGGUACUCUGGGGAUAACAGGCUGAUACCGCCCAAGAGUUCAUAUCGACGGCGGUGUUUGGCACCUCGAUGUCGGCUCAUCUCAUCCUGGGGCUGUAGCCGGUCCCAAGGGUAUGGCUGUUCGCCAUUUAAAGAGGUACGUGAGCUGGGUUUAAAACGUCGUGAGACAGUUUGGUCCCUAUCUGCCGUGGGCGUUGGAAGUUUGAAGGGGGCUGCUCCUAGUACGAGAGGACCGGAGUGGACGAACCUCUGGUGUACCGGUUGUGACGCCAGUCGCAUCGCCGGGUAGCUAUGUUCGGAAGAGAUAACCGCUGAAAGCAUCUAAGCGGGAAACUCGCCUUAAGAUGAGACUUCCCCGGGGACUUGAUCCCCUUGAAGGGUCGUUCGAGACCAGGACGUUGAUAGGUCGGGUGUGUAAGCGCAGUAAUGCGUUCAGCUAACCGAUACUAAUUGCCCGUACGGCUUGAUCCU
Molecule: ribosomal RNA, 1454 nt
Filed under: Burkholderia mallei
Lineage: Bacteria; Pseudomonadati; Pseudomonadota; Betaproteobacteria; Burkholderiales; Burkholderiaceae
Description: bacterial LSU rRNA
Rfam family: Bacterial large subunit ribosomal RNA
Source: RNAcentral